Molecule: non-coding RNA, 73 nt
Organism: Podarcis lilfordi (Lilford's wall lizard)
Lineage: Eukaryota; Metazoa; Chordata; Lepidosauria; Squamata; Lacertidae
Source: the annotation of a GenBank genome assembly
GCUGGGAUAGCUCAGCUGGUAGAGCAUGCGACUCUUAAUCUCAGGGUUGUGAGUUCAAGACCCAUGUUGGGCA